GGGGAAUUUUGGACAAUGGGCGCAAGCCUGAUCCAGCCAUGCCGCGUGUCUGAAGAAGGCCUUCGGGUUGUAAAGGACUUUUGUCAGGGAAGAAAAGGCUGUCGCUAAUACCGACAGUUGAUGACGGUACCUGAAGAAUAAGCACCGGCUAACUACGUGCCAGCAGCCGCGGUAAUACGUAGGGUGCGAGCGUUAAUCGGAAUUACUGGGCGUAAAGCGAGCGCAGACGGUUACUUAAGCAGGAUGUGAAAUCCCCGGGCUCAACCUGGGAACUGCGUUCUGAACUGGGUGACUAGAGUGUGUCAGAGGGAGGUAGAAUUCCACGUGUAGCAGUGAAAUGCGUAGAGAUGUGGAGGAAUACCGAUGGCGAAGGCAGCCUCCUGGGAUAACACUGACGUUCAUGCUCGAAAGCGUGGGUAGCAAACAGGAUUAGACACCCUGGUAGUCCACGCCCUAAACGAUGUCAAUUAGCUGUUGGGCAACUUGAUUGCUUAGUAGCGUAGCUAACGCGUGAAAUUGACCGCCUGGGGAGUACGGUCGCAAGAUUA
RNAcentral lists this ribosomal RNA (548 nucleotides) under uncultured bacterium. RNAcentral's name for it is "bacterial SSU rRNA". It matches the Rfam family "Bacterial small subunit ribosomal RNA", at positions 356 to 896 of the family's 1533-position model. The record is from RNAcentral.